RNAcentral lists this ribosomal RNA (510 nucleotides) under uncultured bacterium. RNAcentral's name for it is "partial 16S ribosomal RNA". It matches the Rfam family "Bacterial small subunit ribosomal RNA", at positions 28 to 507 of the family's 1533-position model. The record is from RNAcentral.
GACGAACGCUGGCGGCGUGCUUAACACAUGCAAGUCGAACGAAGAGCGAUGGAAGCUUGCUUCUAUCAAUCUUAGUGGCGAACGGGUGAGUAACGCGUAAUCAACCUGCCCUUCAGAGGGGGACAACAGUUGGAAACGACUGCUAAUACCGCAUACGAUCUAAUCUCGGCAUCGAGGAUAGAUGAAAGGUGGCCCCUACAUGUAAGCUAUCACUGAAGGAGGGGAUUGCGUCUGAUUAGCUAGUUGGAGGGGUAACGGCCCACUAAGGCGAUGAUCAGUAGCCGGUCUGAGAGGAUGAACGGCCACAUUGGGACUGAGACACGGCCCAGACUCCUACGGGAGGCAGCAGUGGGGAAUCUUCCGCAAUGGACGAAAGUCUGACGGAGCAACGCCGCGUGAGUGAUGACGGCCUUCGGGUUGUAAAGCUCUGUUAAUCGGGACGAAAGGCCUUCUUGCGAAUAGUGAGAAGGAUUGACGGUACCGGAAUAGAAAGCCACGGCUAACUACGUG